AUUACCUCAGUAACGGCGAGUGAAGCGGUAACAGCUCAAAUUUGAAAUCUGGCUCUUUCAGGGUCCGAGUUGUAAUUUGUAGACGAUGCUUUGGGUGUGGUGCCGGUCUAAGUUCCUUGGAACAGGACGUCAUAGAGGGUGAGAAUCCCGUAUGUGAUCGGUCGCCUUCGCCCGUGUAAAGCUCGUUCGACGAGUCGAGUUGUUUGGGAAUGCAGCUCAAAAUGGGUGGUAAAUUUCAUCUAAAGCUAAAUAUUGGCCAGAGACCGAUAGCGCACAAGUAGAGUGAUCGAAAGAUGAAAAGCACUUUGGAAAGAGAGUUAAACAGUACGUGAAAUUGUUGAAAGGGAAGCGCUUGCAACCAGACUUGGGCUGUCGCAAUCAUCCGGGGCUCGCCCCGGUGCACUUGUGGCGGCACAGGCCAGCAUCAGUUUCGGUGGUGGGAUAAAGGCCUUGGGAAUGUAGCUUCUUUCGGGGAGUGUUAUAGCCCUCGGUGCAAUGCCGCCUACCGGGACUGAGGAACGCGCUUCGGCGAGGAUGCUGGCGUAAUGGUUGUAAGCGACCCGUCUUGAAACACGGACCAAGGAGUCUAACAUCUAUGCGAGUGUUUGGGUGUCAAACCCAUACGCGUAAUGAAAGUGAACGGAGGUGAGAACCCGUUAGGGUGCAUCAUCGACCGAUCCUGAUGUCUUCGGAUGGAUUUGAGUAAGAGCAUAGCUGUUGGGACCCGAAAGAUGGUGAACUAUGCCUAAAUAGGGUGAAGCCAGAGGAAACUCUGGUGGAGGCUCGCAGCGGUUCUGACGUGCAAAUCGAUCGUCAAAUUUGGGUAUAGGGGCGAAAGAC
Molecule: ribosomal RNA, 840 nt
Filed under: Tricladium varicosporioides
Lineage: Eukaryota; Fungi; Ascomycota; Leotiomycetes; Helotiales; Tricladiaceae
Description: Hymenoscyphus varicosporioides partial large subunit ribosomal RNA
Rfam family: Eukaryotic large subunit ribosomal RNA
Source: RNAcentral